This 2900-nucleotide ribosomal RNA is filed under the name Klebsiella oxytoca. RNAcentral describes it as "bacterial LSU rRNA". It matches the Rfam family "Bacterial large subunit ribosomal RNA". RNAcentral also lists the same sequence under 1 other name. Lineage: Bacteria; Pseudomonadati; Pseudomonadota; Gammaproteobacteria; Enterobacterales; Enterobacteriaceae. The record is from RNAcentral.
UUAAGCGACUAAGCGUACACGGUGGAUGCCCUGGCAGUCAGAGGCGAUGAAGGACGUGCUAAUCUGCGAAAAGCGUCGGUAAGGUGAUAUGAACCGUUAUAGCCGGCGAUGUCCGAAUGGGGAAACCCAGUGUGAUUCGUCACACUAUCGUUAACUGAAUACAUAGGUUAACGAGGCGAACCGGGGGAACUGAAACAUCUAAGUACCCCGAGGAAAAGAAAUCAACCGAGAUUCCCCCAGUAGCGGCGAGCGAACGGGGAGCAGCCCAGAGUCUGAAUCAGCUUGUGUGUUAGUGGAACGGUCUGGAAAGUCCGACGGUACAGGGUGAUAGUCCCGUACACCAAAAUGCACAGGUUGUGAACUCGAAGAGUAGGGCGGGACACGUGGUAUCCUGUCUGAAUAUGGGGGGACCAUCCUCCAAGGCUAAAUACUCCUGACUGACCGAUAGUGAACCAGUACCGUGAGGGAAAGGCGAAAAGAACCCCGGCGAGGGGAGUGAAAAAGAACCUGAAACCGUGUACGUACAAGCAGUGGGAGCACCUUCGGGUGUGACUGCGUACCUUUUGUAUAAUGGGUCAGCGACUUAUAUUCUGUAGCAAGGUUAACCGUAUAGGGGAGCCGCAGGGAAACCGAGUCUUAACUGGGCGUUAAGUUGCAGGGUAUAGACCCGAAACCCGGUGAUCUAGCCAUGGGCAGGUUGAAGGUUGGGUAACACUAACUGGAGGACCGAACCGACUAAUGUUGAAAAAUUAGCGGAUGACUUGUGGCUGGGGGUGAAAGGCCAAUCAAACCGGGAGAUAGCUGGUUCUCCCCGAAAGCUAUUUAGGUAGCGCCUCGUGAACUCAUCUUCGGGGGUAGAGCACUGUUUCGGCUAGGGGGUCAUCCCGACUUACCAACCCGAUGCAAACUACGAAUACCGAAGAAUGUUAUCACGGGAGACACACGGCGGGUGCUAACGUCCGUCGUGAAGAGGGAAACAACCCAGACCGCCAGCUAAGGUCCCAAAGUCAUGGUUAAGUGGGAAACGAUGUGGGAAGGCACAGACAGCCAGGAUGUUGGCUUAGAAGCAGCCAUCAUUUAAAGAAAGCGUAAUAGCUCACUGGUCGAGUCGGCCUGCGCGGAAGAUGUAACGGGGCUAAACCAUGCACCGAAGCUGCGGCAGCGACACUAUGUGUUGUUGGGUAGGGGAGCGUUCUGUAAGCCUGCGAAGGUGACCUGUGAGGGUUGCUGGAGGUAUCAGAAGUGCGAAUGCUGACAUAAGUAACGAUAAAGCGGGUGAAAAGCCCGCUCGCCGGAAGACCAAGGGUUCCUGUCCAACGUUAAUCGGGGCAGGGUGAGUCGACCCCUAAGGCGAGGCCGAAAGGCGUAGUCGAUGGGAAACAGGUUAAUAUUCCUGUACUUGGUGUUACUGCGAAGGGGGGACGGAGAAGGCUAUGUUAGCCGGGCGACGGUUGUCCCGGUUUAAGCAUGUAGGCUGGUUGUCCAGGCAAAUCCGGAUAAUCAAGGCUGAGGUGUGAUGACGAGGCACUACGGUGCUGAAGUAACAAAUGCCCUGCUUCCAGGAAAAGCCUCUAAGCAUCAGGUAACAUUAAAUCGUACCCCAAACCGACACAGGUGGUCAGGUAGAGAAUACCAAGGCGCUUGAGAGAACUCGGGUGAAGGAACUAGGCAAAAUGGUGCCGUAACUUCGGGAGAAGGCACGCUGGUGUGUAGGUGAAGUCCCUGCGGAUGGAGCUGAGACCAGUCGAAGAUACCAGCUGGCUGCAACUGUUUAUUAAAAACACAGCACUGUGCAAACACGAAAGUGGACGUAUACGGUGUGACGCCUGCCCGGUGCCGGAAGGUUAAUUGAUGGGGUUAUCCGUAAGGAGAAGCUCUUGAUCGAAGCCCCGGUAAACGGCGGCCGUAACUAUAACGGUCCUAAGGUAGCGAAAUUCCUUGUCGGGUAAGUUCCGACCUGCACGAAUGGCGUAAUGAUGGCCAGGCUGUCUCCACCCGAGACUCAGUGAAAUUGAACUCGCUGUGAAGAUGCAGUGUACCCGCGGCAAGACGGAAAGACCCCGUGAACCUUUACUAUAGCUUGACACUGAACAUUGAGCCUUGAUGUGUAGGAUAGGUGGGAGGCUUUGAAGCGUGGACGCCAGUCUGCGUGGAGCCAACCUUGAAAUACCACCCUUUAAUGUUUGAUGUUCUAACGUUGGCCCCUGACCGGGGUUGCGGACAGUGUCUGGUGGGUAGUUUGACUGGGGCGGUCUCCUCCCAAAGCGUAACGGAGGAGCACGAAGGUUAGCUAAUCCUGGUCGGACAUCAGGAGGUUAGUGCAAUGGCAUAAGCUAGCUUGACUGCGAGCGUGACGGCGCGAGCAGGUGCGAAAGCAGGUCAUAGUGAUCCGGUGGUUCUGAAUGGAAGGGCCAUCGCUCAACGGAUAAAAGGUACUCCGGGGAUAACAGGCUGAUACCGCCCAAGAGUUCAUAUCGACGGCGGUGUUUGGCACCUCGAUGUCGGCUCAUCACAUCCUGGGGCUGAAGUAGGUCCCAAGGGUAUGGCUGUUCGCCAUUUAAAGUGGUACGCGAGCUGGGUUUAGAACGUCGUGAGACAGUUCGGUCCCUAUCUGCCGUGGGCGCUGGAGAAUUGAGGGGGGCUGCUCCUAGUACGAGAGGACCGGAGUGGACGCAUCACUGGUGUUCGGGUUGUCAUGCCAAUGGCACUGCCCGGUAGCUAAAUGCGGAAGAGAUAAGUGCUGAAAGCAUCUAAGCACGAAACUUGCCCCGAGAUGAGUUCUCCCUGAGACUUUAAGUCUCCUGAAGGAACGUUGAAGACGACGACGUUGAUAGGCCGGGUGUGUAAGCGCAGCGAUGCGUUGAGCUAACCGGUACUAAUGAACCGUGAGGCUUAACCUU